ACGUGUGUAGCCCCGGACGUAAGGGCCGUGCUGAUUUGACGUCAUCCCCACCUUCCUCACAUCUUACGACGGCAGUCUCUCUAGAGUCCUCAGCAUGACCUGUUAGUAACUAAAGAUAAGGGUUGCGCUCGUUAUGGCACUUAAGCCGACACCUCACGGCACGAGCUGACGACAACCAUGCAGCACCUUCACAUUUGCCUUGCGGCUAACCUGUUUCCAGAUUAUUCAAAUGCAAUUUAAGCCCGGGUAAGGUUCCUCGCGUAUCAUCGAAUUAAACCACAUGUUCCUCCGCUUGUGCGGGCCCCCGUCAAUUCCUUUGAGUUUCACCGUUGCCGGCGUACUCCCCAGGUGGAAUACUUAAUGCUUUCGCUUGGCCGCUUACUGUAUAUCGCAAACAGCGAGUAUUCAUCGUUUACUGUGUGGACUACCAGGGUAUCUAAUCCUGUUUGAUACCCACACUUUCGAGCAUCAGUGUCAGUUGCAGUCCAGUGAGCUGCCUUCGCAAUCGGAGUUCUUCGUGAUAUCUAAGCAUUUCACCGCUACACCACGAAUUCCGCCCACCUCUACUGUACUCAAGACAGCCAGUAUCAACUGCNAAUUUUACGGUUGAGCCGCAAACUUUCACAACUGACUUAACUGUCCACCUACGCUCCCUUUAAACCCAAUAAAUCCGGAUAACGCUCGGAUCCUCCGUAUUACCGCGGCUGCUGGCACGGAGUUAGCCGAUCCUUAUUCAUAUGGUACAUACAAAAUUCCACACGUGGAAAACUUUAUUCCCAUAUAAAAGAAGUUUACAACCCAUAGGGCAGUCAUCCUUCACGCUACUUGGCUGGUUCAGGCCUGCGCCCAUUGACCAAUAUUCCUCACUGCUGCCUCCCGUAGGAGUUUGGACCGUGUCUCAGUUCCAAUGUGGGGGACCUUCCUCUCAGAACCCCUAUCCAUCGAAGGUUUGGUGAGCCGUUACCUCACCAACUGCCUAAUGGAACGCAUCCCCAUCGAUAACCGAAAUUCUUUAAUAAUAAGACCAUGCGGUCUAAUUAUGCCAUCGGGUAUUAAUCUUUCUUUCGAAAGGCUAUCCCCGAGUUAUCGGCAGGUUGGAUACGUGUUACUCACCCGUGCGCCGGUCGCCAUCUCCAGUUUGCAAGCAAACUGAAAUGCUGCCCCUCGACUUGCAUGUGUUAAGCCUGUAG
RNAcentral lists this ribosomal RNA (1190 nucleotides) under Bacteroides thetaiotaomicron. Its description in RNAcentral is "partial 16S ribosomal RNA". The record is from RNAcentral. Lineage: Bacteria; Pseudomonadati; Bacteroidota; Bacteroidia; Bacteroidales; Bacteroidaceae.